RNAcentral lists this ribosomal RNA (321 nucleotides) under uncultured eukaryote. Its description in RNAcentral is "partial 18S ribosomal RNA". It matches the Rfam family "Eukaryotic small subunit ribosomal RNA", at positions 1470 to 1796 of the family's 1831-position model. The record is from RNAcentral.
CCCUUAGAUGUUCUGGGCCGCACGCGCGCUACACUGACGAAUGCAACGAGCUUAUAACCUUGGCCGAAAGGUCUGGGUAAUCUCCAAAUUUCGUCGUGAUGGGGAUAGAUUAUUGCAAUUAUUAAUCUUCAACGAGGAAUGCCUAGUAAGCGCAAGUCAUCAGCUUGCGUUGAUUACGUCCCUGCCCUUUGUACACACCGCCCGUCGCUCCUACCGAUUGAAUGGUCCGGUGAAGCGUUCGGGACGGCGGCUCGGUCGCUUGCGUCCGACUGCUGAAACUUGAUUAAACCAUAUCAUUUAGAGGAAGGUGAAGUCGUAACA